GACGAACGCUGGCGGCGUGCCUAAUACAUGCAAGUGGGACGCAAGGAAACACACUGUGCUUGCACACCGUGUUCGCCUGAGUCGCGAACGGGUGAGUAACGCGUAGGUUAUCUGCCUAGUAGCGGGGGAUAACUAUUGGAAACGAUAGCUAAUACCUCAUAAUCUUCAUUAUUGCAUGAUAAUUGACUGAAAGAUGCAAGCGUAUCACUAGUAGAUGGACCUGUGUUGUAUUAGCUAGUUGGAAAGGUAAGAGAUUACCAAGGCAACGACCCACAGCCGACCUGAGGGGGUGUCCGCCACCCUGGGACCGGGGCCCGGCCCCAACUCCUACGGGAGGGAGCAGUAGGGGAUCUUCGGCAAUGGGCGGAAGUCUUACCGGGGCACGGCGGGUGGGUGGAGGAGGUUUUCGGGUCGUUAAGCUCUGUUGUUAGUCGAGAACGUGAGUGGGAGUUGAAUGUUCACGCAGUGACGGUAGCUUACCAGAAAGGGACGGCUAACUACGUG
This 504-nucleotide ribosomal RNA is filed under the name uncultured bacterium. RNAcentral's name for it is "partial 16S ribosomal RNA". It matches the Rfam family "Bacterial small subunit ribosomal RNA", at positions 28 to 507 of the family's 1533-position model. The record is from RNAcentral.